AUGCUGCUGCUAUGUACUCCAAAGUUCACUCAGACACGCAUCGAUGUUGACAAGAAGAAGUGCCUAUAUUCAUUCGAGUAUCAACCGGCGCCAACCAGUUGUCAAACACCAGGUUGGCCCGCCCAGCAAAUGGGCUGCUGGUCCACCACGGACUGGGAGGCUAAAAAUACAAGUUUCCCGCCGCCGGCCCCCUCUUUAAUCCAGUUCGCUCGAGGAUCUAGCUGGUACUAUCAUUUUUUUCCAGAGGGCGAACAAGUAUCAGCUAGGCCUAGUGCGAAGAGAUGGUUAUUUGCCCUCCAAGAGAGGCUCAAGCCGGACGAGUUUGUUAGAUUAGUGGUAACUUUGUGGGCAAUUUGGGGAGCCAGGAGGAAAGCAAUUCAUGAAGGACUGUUUCAGAGUCCCCAGUCGAUCAACGAUUUCAUAAGCUCCUACUUAUCAGAGAUUAAUGUCAUCUAUACUCAGAAAGUUACUCCGGCUAAUGCUACUAUAGCAAGACCACGGCGAUGGCUGCCUCCGGCAGACAAUCACGCCAAAAUCAACACCGAUGCUGCGGUGGGAGGUCGAGGGAAAUUCAGGACGGUUGCAGCGAUCUGUAGAGAUGGAGCAGGGAUUUUUGCUGGAGCGUCGGCUAUUGUCUACAGAACGAUUGGAGAUCCAGCUACGUUGGAGGCCUUAGGAGUUGUGGAUGAAAUCCAGAAGGAUGGUGCAUCGAACGAUGGUGCAGUAACUCAGGAGAUUAAAUUGCAUUCAGUUUCUUUUAUUUCUUCAUACCUCGAUCCUUCGCCACCCGCCAUUCUUCCUCCUCGCAAAAACCAGAAGCUAGGUUUUGCGCCCCUCGUCGGACGGUCGCUCUCCCUCCCGCCGCCGCAGACGAGCCGCCUAGGGUACGCCCGUUUUGAUGGACAUUUUCUCUUUGGUUAA
This 921-nucleotide ribosomal RNA is filed under the name Triticum aestivum (bread wheat). RNAcentral describes it as "partial small subunit ribosomal RNA". The record is from RNAcentral. Lineage: Eukaryota; Viridiplantae; Streptophyta; Magnoliopsida; Poales; Poaceae.